AUUAAAAAAAUUCUUUGAACCACUAUUAAAAGUUUAUAUUGUUAUUCCAGAGAGUGAAUUUUGCUAUCCUAAAAUCUUUGUUACCAUAAGACAAUGCUCUUACAAGAGAGAAGAGAAAGGAAUUAAAAACAUAUUUAGGGUUUCCUGUGGCUCAGGCCUUGUUAUUUCUCUGCCUACUGUUUUCUCAUAUGCAGGGUGACAGUAGGAGACAAAAGAAAACAAGUAAUAGAACAGAAUUCAGUUUUGAAAUGAAAGAUUAGCAUCAUUAAGGAAAAUGUUUUUUAGUUUCUGUGUUUUUUUAUUAUAGUAACUUUUAUGAUGGCUUUCCACAGUGGAGACUAAACUAAAAUGUGGGGAGACUUGAAACUGUUCUGGAUGUUGGAUAUACUACCCUGACCACACAUAGAUCCUUUUGGAAAGGACGACAACCUUUAUUGAGUAUUUAAGUAAAUUCUCUGUUGAAUCAUUGGCUAAGCUACAUAGACACAGGGGCAACUCCAGGAAACUAGGCUUUAAAAUAACAAGAAUUAAAGAAAAGCAGAGCAGAGCAGAGACAUUAGUAGCUGCACAUGGUGGAGGAAGACAGAUUUCUAGAGUUGUUAUACCAUAUUAUAUUCACAUAAUAUGUUCUAAGAACUAAAUGAGUUGUGUUUCUAAAAUUAAAGAAAGCAUGGUAACAAUGACUCAACAGAUAAAGGAUUUCAGUAAGGAGUUAGAAAUUAUAGAAAACCAAAUGGGAAUCCUGGAGUUGAGAAGAUGCAAAAAAUGAGAUGAUAAUCUGGCUAGAGCAACUCAAUACUAUAUUGAAGCCAGCGUGAGAAUUAGGGCACUGAUGUGUUGACAAAGGUGCUGAAAAAGAAUGGGUGUCACAGAGAAGAAGAUAAGCUGCUGUGCUGGAGGGAAACUUUGUUGAUUUCAGUUUUCCUGAUGUUUGGCCCUUUAAGUUCAAGUGCAUGUAGACCUGUGGAAACUCCACAGAAAGAUGUAUUCGUAGAAGGCAUUUGCCUACCUGCUGGGUUGGGUUUGCAGUUCUUGAAAGGUUUUCCAUUCCUUAUCAACCCUGCUAACUGUAUGAUUAAGGAGAUUGUUUUUGUUUUUACAAGAUUCGCGCCCCGAGGGAUCAUUUUAUAAAAAAAAAUAAGACAAAAAGGAAGAGUAGGAUGAUUAUAUGUAGUUGGUGAUGAGGUCAUUUAUUGAGGGUUGAAUUUAAUGGAAUGGGAGUCAUAUUAGUUAGGGUUCUCCCUAGAAACAAAACCAGUAUCAUGUGGGAUAUAUGUGUGUGUAUGUGUAUGGUGAGAGAGAGAGACAGAGACAGAGACAGAGAAAGAGAGAAAGAGGGAAGGAGAGAGAUUGAGGUUUCAAGAAAUUGGCUCAUGAUUGUGAAGGCUGGCAAGUCCAAAAUUUAGACACUGAGGGAGGAGUUGCAAUUUCAUUCCAAAGAUAGAAUUCUUUCUUCCCCCAAGGAGGUCAGUUUUUUGUUUUUUUGUUUUUUCAUAUUAAGACUUUCAACUGACUGGAUAAAGCACACUCACAUUAUAGAGCAUAAUCUGCUUAAGAAUCAAACUUUACUGAUUUAAAUAUUAAUCUUAUGUAAAACUACCUUGACAGAAACAUCUAGAAUAUUAUUUGGCCAAAUCUGGUUAUUGUGGCCUAGCCACAUUGACACAAAAUUAAUCACCACAGGGGCAAUGAAUGUAGUCCUGAUUAAAAUAGAAUUUGCCUAUUUAAGAAAAUAUAUCUAUUGUAGACAUUUAUUUUCCUCUUCUCAUUUCUGCUCCUUAAAUUAUUUCACAGAAGAGGAAUCAUUCUAGCAAGAGACUUCUAUAUGUGUGUAUCAUUUGCUGGGUGGUUUUAAGAGUGGUUAUUGAUGAAUAAAUGCAAAGAUACUUUUGAAUUAAGUUCACAAGUCAUUUCAUGGACUGUAACUUCUGUAACUUCUAGCGAGUCUUGUUAUUAUAUAUAAGCUUUCUCUUGCCUGCAUGCUUUUUUCUCUCUUGUUUUAUACCUUUCUUUCUAAUGGAAGAUGAUGGCAGGAAAUACUCAUUUUGUUUUCACUUAUUUGCUGAUCUGAAUAUAAUAAACAACUGUAUGUAGCA
Molecule: long non-coding RNA, 2096 nt
Organism: Neofelis nebulosa (Clouded leopard)
Lineage: Eukaryota; Metazoa; Chordata; Mammalia; Carnivora; Felidae
Exons: 2
Source: RefSeq, a predicted model, not a curated record